UACGUAGGGGGCAAGCGUUGUCCGGAUUUAUUGGGCGUAAAGAGCUCGUAGGCGGCUUGUCACGUCGGAUGUGAAAGCCCGGGGCUUAACCCCGGGUCUGCAUUCGAUACGGGCAGGCUAGAGUGUGGUAGGGGAGAUCGGAAUUCCUGGUGUAGCGGUGAAAUGCGCAGAUAUCAGGAGGAACACCGGUGGCGAAGGCGGAUCUCUGGGCCAUUACUGACGCUGAGGAGCGAAAGCGUGGGGAGCGAACAGG
This 253-nucleotide ribosomal RNA is filed under the name uncultured bacterium. RNAcentral's name for it is "partial 16S ribosomal RNA". It matches the Rfam family "Bacterial small subunit ribosomal RNA", at positions 524 to 776 of the family's 1533-position model. The record is from RNAcentral.